This is a long non-coding RNA of Paramisgurnus dabryanus, 2815 nucleotides long. RefSeq lists it as uncharacterized. The record is from RefSeq and is a predicted model, not a curated record. NCBI's taxonomy places the organism in Eukaryota, Metazoa, Chordata, Actinopteri, Cypriniformes, Cobitidae.
UUUCAUGCUGAAACAAAGAAGAAAAAUGUUUGAGUGUGAAAAAUCCAUCACUGCAUGCAUGCGCUUUAGGCUGUAGUGUAAUUUUUAAACAUCAGGCUCUAGUACAAUAAGCAAAAAGCAUAAAUAUACUACACAGCAAUAUAUCACUCAGUGAUUGGACCUGCUACAGUAUAUAUUAUAGUCUUUUCAUGAGUUAUACAACAUAGGACCUAUGUCUGUGGGUGUUGGUAUAUGUUAUAUGCAGAGUCAUUACGGGUGACUUGUGCAUUGCUUGCGCAAGCGAAACUCGAGUCGUCCGAGUGCAGAAAACAUUUUUUUCAGUGUUAUCCUUCGCCCUGCUGAUGGAGAGCAGGGAGGCAGUUUACCCCGCAGCACGGUUCAUUCUGCUCCAGUAAUGCUGAUCUCCGUGUACUGAGAUCAAGCAGAAGGGAGUGCUUUCCAAUUCAGUCUGAUCAUGGACCACCUCCGGGCAGAUCGACAAAUAAACAACCAACAUUGAGAACUUGAUGCUCUCACCGUAGAGUCCAUAGAGUGCUUAGGUUACAGCAAUACUGCAUCUCUUUCUCAAUCUUCUCGGGCUGGUUGGGUACCAGUGUAAAAGUGAAAUAAAAGUGUGAAAGAAACAUGUUACAUUUAAAGCGAACAGGUGCCAACGUGGCCUUUUGCAGUAUGCAUUGCUCAAUCAAUCUCAAGAAGCUUUAAUGGCCGUAGCCAUCUAUGUGGUCACUGAAGUCCGGACCUUUAUAAAUUGAUCAAAAAAAAGUUACCUGAAUGACUCAUUCGUUUUUCUAAACAACUCAUAAUGCCAUCUGCAUAUAUUACUGUAUAAUGUAAUGUAAAAUUAUAAAGAUUAACUCAAGCCACGCGAGGGGGCGGUUGCAGAAUUGACAGUGUUGCCAAAUCCCAUUAUUAAAAAUCCUCUUGAGAUGAGUGUUUUAGCAAUUAAUGAGACACUUUGGGAUAUAUAUAAAGUGAUGAUUAGGUGUAGAUUAGUGUUAGCGAUUUCUAUUAUUUAUUUCUAAAAUACAAGGUGUGAACUUUGUGCUUUAUGGCCUAUUAUUGUUGUUUGUUUUUCCUACUAAUACCUGGCAACUCUGGGUGACCAGCAUCUAAACUGACAGUUGGCAAAUAAGGUGCAUCAUUCAGCACGGGCAGGUUAUUGCUGAGAUGAUAAUACAUCCGGUAAGACAAAAGCAGUAAUCAUCAUGAUUGUGUCUGUAAGAGUAAGUACAAAGACAGAAAAUAAGUCUGGUACAAAGAUGUAGAACAAUUAGGUUUAAAGAGCACCUAUUAUGGGAUACACGUUUUUAAACAUCCUUUUGUGUGUAAGUGUGCAUUAGUACAUGCUAACGAUAUUCAAAAAGUACAUACCUCAAAGAAAACGAUGACGCGUGUUAUCGUCUCUAACGUUAGAGGACUACAAAAAACACUCGGAUUGUAGGCAACAGUUUACUUCCUGGGAUUAGUGACGUAGAUAAGACCAACAUUAUCAUAGUUCAGCCCUCUCUGCUUUGCUUGGGUACGCCCUCAAAGACGAGGGUGGGGAGCGCCGAGUCAGAAGAGAGCUAAAAUGGCGGAGGUUGUGAGUCCCUGCUUUGACUCUGUUUGCAAACUCUUGUUUCAUUGUUUAAGCUAUUAAAUCUCUCGAGUAGACGCUGUCUCUUUAGAUGCGAGGGAAAAAUAGCACUUUAUGGACUUCCACAGAGGACAUCAUGUUUAAUACGGUUCCGGAAAAAUCCAGUCAGAAGUUGUUCACGGAGUUUUCACAAUAACUGCUUCUCAUGAACCGAAGCUGGAUUUGCGCGACGUCUCCUCUUGAAAGUUGGAUUACUGUGCACUUCUGGAUCACAGGCUAUUCGCAGCUGUACACAUCCUUCUACACUGUAUGCAAACAUGCAACAUCAUAACACACAGUACAAGGAGUCAGACUGGCAUAUGAGGAGCAAAGGAACCCAGGCAGUAGCAUCGUUUCACAAUGUUUCCAUCACCAUCAUCAGUGGAUGCCUUUGCCGUCCGUAGCCUGAGAUUUCAGAUUUGCAGCAAAAAAUGUUUGAUUUUCUCAUUUAUUGGAAUGCUGUGCAGGUAUUUAAGUAUUUUAGUAACUUUGUUAAAUAAAGUAGUAUUUACUUUACAAUAAAUUAAUUGCUUGUUUAUAUUUUACAGGUAUUUGUACUUUGCAGCCAUCCAUUACAAUGUCACCAAGCCGUAACAAAAGCAGGAGAGGAAAAGUACAAGGCUAUGUUCCCAAAACACACAAGUGACAUACCUUAUGUGGAGGAUGUGAUCAGGCUUGUGUUUGAUGAGGUAUUUGAAGAUAAGCUGAAGGAAACCCCGAUUCCAAUGGACCUGGCAUCACAGUUUGAGAGACCUUCAAAGGAGGACGUGAUUGCAUGCCAUCUUCAGUGCAGGGGUCGUCGAAAGCCAAAAUUGUGACCGAUCUGAUCAGGAAGCUCCAAGCGUAUCUGGAGAACAACACACGACAGGAUGAUAACCUUAUAGUGUCGUCUUAAAUAGCACCAGCUGACAAAGCUUUGAUAUGCCAUUUAUCUGAAUAGAUAGCUGUAAGAAAUGAAUUGAACAAUUUUUGAAACAAGAGCACAAUAUGGUUACUAAAGUAUGUUUAUUUGUAUAUUGUUUAACAUUUAAAUAUAUAUUUGUAAUAAAUAAAAAAAACUUUUGACUGACUAUUAUAUUUUCUUUAAAGUUACAUCUUUUGUUCUUUUGGGUAUUUUGUUACUAUAAUGAUACUUUAGUGUUAUUGGUUUAAAAAUGUAAUAAAACUUACUCUAGUCCUGCACCUCAAAGGCUUAAGUCG